GACGAACGCUGGCGGCGUGCCUAAUACAUGCAAGUCGAACGAGUGGCGGACGGGUGAGUAAUGUCUGGGAAACUGCCCGAUGGAGGGGGCUAACUCCUGGAAACGGUAGCUAAUACCGCAUACCAUCGGAUGUGCCCCGCUGGGCUUAGCUAGUAGGUGGGGUAACGGCUUACCUAGGCGACGCGCCCUAGCUGGUCUGAGAGGAUGACCAGCCACACUGGAACGGAGACACGGGCCAGACGCCUACGGGAGGCAGCAGUGGGGAAGAUGGCACAAUGGGCGCAAGCCUGAUGCAGCCAUGCCGCGUGUAUGAAGAAGGCCUUCGGGUUGUAAAGUACUUUCAGCGAGAAGGCGUUACUCGCAGAAGAAGCACCGGCUAACUCCGUGCCAGCAGCCGCGGUAAUUC
RNAcentral lists this ribosomal RNA (406 nucleotides) under uncultured bacterium. RNAcentral describes it as "partial 16S ribosomal RNA". It matches the Rfam family "Bacterial small subunit ribosomal RNA", at positions 28 to 526 of the family's 1533-position model. The record is from RNAcentral.